Molecule: ribosomal RNA, 501 nt
Filed under: Triticum aestivum (bread wheat)
Lineage: Eukaryota; Viridiplantae; Streptophyta; Magnoliopsida; Poales; Poaceae
Description: partial small subunit ribosomal RNA
Source: RNAcentral
AUGAUUCCUUUAUAUCUGAGUACUAUGGAGAUGGGCUGUGAACUUACCAGAACAAGGAAGGGGAUGCCCGAGACUGAGACGAUGACGGUGGUCGCGACACACAGCUGCAGGAGUGGACAACAGAGACAAACACUCCCUUGGAUUCGUCGUGAUUCUGGAAUGGGAGGCAGGUCACUGCCGCUACCGCCCAUGAAGCUGACGAUGAUCACGUGGCCGUCAUGCAGCGGCGAGGUGGCGGUUGUGGAGGGGAAGGGGGAGGUGAGGGGAGACGCGCGGGCGAAAACCCACACGGCGGAGGAAGGGGAUGCCUCAGGUGGCGACGGUCAUGACGGUCACUAUAUUGUGAUAUGUUAUUUGCAUAUAAAUGAUUCAGGGGACCCCGGUUUGUCGUUUAGAUUUCUCCAAUUGUUCGAAGAUGGGGCCCAUCUCUUUCUAAACUGCAAAGAAGUGAAGGAGCAAUGGUAUGCCUUGCUGCUGGAGGAAAUCCGGAUUAGAGUGUAA